UGGUUCUGGCAUCGAUGAAGAACGCAGCGAAAUGCGAUAAGUAAUGUGAAUUGCAGAAUUCAGUGAAUCAUCGAAUCUUUGAACGCACAUUGCGCCCUUUGGUAUUCCGAGGGGCAUGCCUGUUCGAGCGUCAUUUCAACCCUCAAGCUUCUGCUUGGUAUUGGGCUCUCGUCCGUUUACUGGACGUGCCUGAAACUCAUAGGCGGUUGUGCUCAGCUCCUUAGCGUAGUCAUAUCUUAUCGCUCUGGAGGACUGGGUAUGGCCUGCCCGAGAACCCCCCAUUUUUCUCAAGUUUUGACCUCGGAUCAGGUAGGGAUACCCGCUGA
Molecule: unclassified non-coding RNA, 326 nt
Filed under: uncultured fungus
Lineage: Eukaryota; Fungi
Description: partial contains 5.8S ribosomal RNA and internal transcribed spacer 2
Rfam family: 5.8S ribosomal RNA (bases 1-133)
Source: RNAcentral